UACGGAGGGGGUUAGCGUUGUUCGGAAUUACUGGGCGUAAAGCGCACGUAGGCGGAUUGGAAAGUUGGGGGUGAAAUCCCGGGGCUCAACCCCGGAACUGCCUCCAAAACUAUCAGUCUAGAGUUCGAGAGAGGUGAGUGGAAUUCCAAGUGUAGAGGUGAAAUUCGUAGAUAUUUGGAGGAACACCAGUGGCGAAGGCGGCUCACUGGCUCGAUACUGAACGCGUGAGGUGCGAAAGUGU
This 241-nucleotide ribosomal RNA is filed under the name uncultured bacterium. RNAcentral's name for it is "partial 16S ribosomal RNA". It matches the Rfam family "Bacterial small subunit ribosomal RNA", at positions 524 to 762 of the family's 1533-position model. The record is from RNAcentral.